This 74-nucleotide transfer RNA is filed under the name Pteropus alecto (black flying fox). It matches the Rfam family "tRNA". From Rfam's summary of the family: Transfer RNA (tRNA) molecules are approximately 80 nucleotides in length. Their secondary structure includes four short double-helical elements and three loops (D, anti-codon, and T loops). RNAcentral also lists the same sequence under 1 other name. The record is from Rfam by way of RNAcentral. Lineage: Eukaryota; Metazoa; Chordata; Mammalia; Chiroptera; Pteropodidae.
GGCUUCAUAGUGUAGUGGUUAGCACUUCUACUUUACACGCAGAAGGUCCUGGGUUCGCACCCCAGGUGGAGCCA